GCCUGAGUGGCUCAGUCGGUUGAGCAUCCGACUUCGGCUCAGGUCAUGAUCUCACGGUUCGUGAGUUCAAGCCCCACAUCGGGCU
Molecule: transfer RNA, 85 nt
Filed under: Felis catus (domestic cat)
Lineage: Eukaryota; Metazoa; Chordata; Mammalia; Carnivora; Felidae
Also listed under: 4 other names
Rfam family: tRNA
About the family: Transfer RNA (tRNA) molecules are approximately 80 nucleotides in length. Their secondary structure includes four short double-helical elements and three loops (D, anti-codon, and T loops).
Source: Rfam by way of RNAcentral